This 814-nucleotide long non-coding RNA is filed under the name Pan troglodytes (chimpanzee). Its description in RNAcentral is "lincRNA". Lineage: Eukaryota; Metazoa; Chordata; Mammalia; Primates; Hominidae. The record is from RNAcentral.
GCGCAGAACGCGGCGGUCAGCUGCGCCCGGCCUGAAGUUGUCCCAACCGCGGCCGCGUCGGUCGCCCUUUUGACUUGCAGCAGGGCGGGCAGAGCGACUUAGAGGAAAAGUGACUUUUUGUACCCUCCUGCAGGGAGCAGGUUCUCUGUCCUUGUUUAAUUAGACAUUUCUCAGGUGGGCACUUUGAAUUCCUUCCAGUCAAGACUCAGGUGUUCAACUUGUUUUGUCGGCCGUCUUCCUCCACCCUUCUUCUUCCAUUCAAAACAAAAAGAAUCCUGCCUCUGCUCUGAAGCCUUUCUGUUCGCUCCAGUGAAAAUUAGUCAUCCACCGGGCGCGGUGGCUCACGCCUGCAAUCCCAGCACUUUGGGAGGCCGAGGUCUGGGCUUGAUGUUCACCGAUUUUCCCUCAGCUCCGACUGUGGCUCCUCUCAGCUGACUCUGACCCUGCUCUCAGCCGGGCUGCAUCUGCCCAGCUCAGCACAUCAAUAAACAGCAGAGGGAAACUACCACCUUGGAAGGAGCCAGGCAGUUUCUGCUGGGCAGGCCGCAGCCCGGAGCAUGGAAGUAGCUUCUUCCAUCCUACGCUGGAAACCACCCAGCAUCCCGGGCCCUCCAGAGAGGAGCCAGACUCUCUUCCCUGGGAAGAGACUAUAGUCCUAUCUGUAUCCUCCAUGGUCAUUGCCCCUCAGUCACAGCAAUGAGGAGCAAAUUACCUGUUUUCUGUAUGUUCCUCUGACAACAACUGCCACAGAGUAAAUAUGAAAGGUUCUGGAUGAUUCCUUGUCAGCUUUUAUUAAAAUUCCACAUACUUGGCA